UAGGGAAUCUUCCACAAUGGACGCAAGUCUGAUGGAGCAACGCCGCGUGAGUGAAGAAGGUUUUCGGAUCGUAAAGCUCUGUUGUUGGUGAAGAAGGAUAGAGGCAGUAACUGGUCUUUAUUUGACGGUAAUCAACCAGAAAGUCACGGCUAACUACGUGCCAGCAGCCGCGGUAAUACGUAGGUGGCAAGCGUUGUCCGGAUUUAUUGGGCGUAAAGCGAGCGCAGGCGGAAUGAUAAGUCUGAUGUGAAAGCCCACGGCUCAACCGUGGAACUGCAUCGGAAACUGUCAUUCUUGAGUGCAGAAGAGGAGAGUGGAAUUCCAUGUGUAGCGGUGGAAUGCGUAGAUAUAUGGAAGAACACCAGUGGCGAAGGCGGCUCUCUGGUCUGCAACUGAUGCUGAGGCUCGAAAGCAUGGGUAGCGAACAGG
This 429-nucleotide ribosomal RNA is filed under the name bacterium. RNAcentral describes it as "partial 16S ribosomal RNA". It matches the Rfam family "Bacterial small subunit ribosomal RNA", at positions 355 to 776 of the family's 1533-position model. The record is from RNAcentral.